CCGCCCUGGGUAAGUCGGGACCUAACGCGAGGCCGAAAGGCGUAGUGGAUGGAAAGCAGGCGAAAGAUUCCUGCACCCGUAUAUGGAGCGAAGGAGUGACGGAGACGGAUAGUGUGACCCUCUUAAUGGAUUGAGGGCGAAGCGAAGCGGCUGGUUACCAGGCAAAUCCGGUAACCAUAAGGCUAGAGCGUGAUAGGUAAGCGAAAUCUUCGGAAAGUAGCGAAGCACAUGAUGACGGCUUCCAGGAAAAGCUUCUGGCAAUGCAUAUGCGGCCCGUACCAAAACCGACACAGGUGGGCAGGGAGAGAAUCCCGAGGUGAGCGAGAGAACUGUUGCCAAGGAACUCGGCAAAAUGACUCCGUAAGUUAGCGAGAAGGAGUGCUUAAGCAAUUAAGCCGCAGUGAAGAGGCCCAAGCGACUGUUUAACUAAAACACAGCUCUCUGCGAAGUCGCAAGACGAAGUAUAGGGGGUGACACCUGCCCGGUGCUGGAAGGUUAAGAGGAUCUGUUAAGAGCGAUCUGAAGCAGUGAUCCGAAGCCCCAGUGAACGGCGGCCGUAACUAUAACGGUCCUAAGGUAGCGAAAUUCCUUGUCAGGUAAGUUCUGACCCGCACGAAAGGUGUAACGAUUUGGGCGCUGUCUCGGCAGCAGACUCGGUGAAAUCUUAGUACCUGUGAAAAUGCAGGUUACCCGCAACUAGACGGAAAGACCCCAUGGAGCUUUACUGCAGCCUGAUAUUGAAUUCUGGUCAUACAUGUACAGGAUAGGUGGGAGACAAAGAGACGUGCACGCCAGUGUACGAGGAGUCGACGUUGGGAUACCACUCUUGUGUGACCGGGGUUCUAACCUGGUAUCGAGAACAGGUACGGGGAGAGUGUCAGGUGGGCAGUUUGACUGGGGCGGUCGCCUCCCAAAGAGUAACGGAGGCGCCCAAAGGUACGCUCAGAUUGGAUGGAAACCAAUCGUCGAGUGCAAUUGCAGAAGCGUGCUUGACUGUGAGACUUACAAGUCGAACAGGGACGAAAGUCGGGAAUAGUGAUCCGGCGGUGCCGAAUGGAAGGGCCGUCGCUCAACGGAUAAAAGCUACCCUGGGGAUAACAGGCUGAUCUCGCCCAAGAGUUCACAUCGACGGCGAGGUUUGGCACCUCGAUGUCGGCUCAUCGCAUCCUGGAGCUGGAUUCGGUUCCAAGGGUUGGGCUGUUCGCCCAUUAAAGCGGUACGCGAGCUGGGUUCAGAACGUCGUGAGACAGUUCGGUCCCUAUCUGUCGUGGGCGCAGGAAAUUUGAGAAGAGCUGUCCUCAGUACGAGAGGACCGGGAUGGACGCAUCAAUGGUGGACCAGUUGUCACGCCAGUGGCAUAGCUGGGUAGCUAAAUGCGGAAGGGAUAAACGCUGAAGGCAUCUAAGUGUGAAACCCACUUCAAGAUGAGAUUUCCCAUUGCGCAAGCAAGUAAGACCCCUUAAAGACGAUAAGGUAGAUAGGUCAGGAGUGUAAGCAUGGUGACAUGUUAAGCGGACUGAUACUAAUAGGUCGAGGGCUUGACCG
Molecule: ribosomal RNA, 1545 nt
Filed under: human gut metagenome
Description: bacterial LSU rRNA
Rfam family: Bacterial large subunit ribosomal RNA
Source: RNAcentral